GACGAACGCUGGCGGCGUGCCUAAUACAUGCAAGUCGAGCGGAACUGGGGGAGCUUGCCCCUUCCAGUUUAGCGGCGGACGGGUGAGUAACACGUGGGCAACCUGCCCUGCAGAUCGGGAUAACUCCGGGAAACCGGUGCUAAUACCGAAUAGUUUGGCGCCUCUCCUGAGGCGCUACGGAAAGACGGUUUCGGCUGUCACUGCAGGAUGGGACCGCGGCGCAUUAGCUAGUUGGUGGGGUAACGGCCCACCAAGGCGACGAUGCGUAGCCGACCUGAGAGGGGAACCGGCCACACUGGGACUGAGACACGGCCCAGACUCCUACGGGAGGCAGCAGUAGGGAAUCUUCCGCAAUGGACGCAAGUCUGACGGAGCAACGCCGCGUGAGUGACGAAGGUUUUCGGAUCGUAAAACUCUGUUGUGAGGGAAGAACACGUACCAACUAACUACUGGUACCUUGACGGUACCUCACCAGAAAGCCACGGCUAACUACGUGCCAGCCGCCGCAGUAA
This 512-nucleotide ribosomal RNA is filed under the name uncultured bacterium. RNAcentral's name for it is "partial 16S ribosomal RNA". It matches the Rfam family "Bacterial small subunit ribosomal RNA", at positions 28 to 523 of the family's 1533-position model. The record is from RNAcentral.